AGCAGCCGCGGUAAUUCCAGCUCCAAUAGCGUAUAUUAAAGUUGUUGCAGUUAAAAAGCUCGUAGUUGAAUUUCGAGAUCAAAUUGUUGGUCGUGCCUCGGUACGUACUGGCAUUAUUGAUUUCUCCCUUCUGAAGAACCACGAUGUCAUUAAUUUGGUGUCGUGGGGAAUCAGGACUGUUACUUUGAAAAAAUUGAGUGUUUAAAGCAGGCUCACGCUUGAAUACAUUAGCAUGGAAUAAUGAAAUAGGACGUUUGAUUCUAUUUUGUUGGUUUCUAGGAUCGACGUAAUGAUUAAUAGGGAUAGUUGGGGGCAUUAGUAUUCAAUUGUCAGAGGUGAAAUUCUUGGAUUUAUUGAAGACUAACUACUGCGAAAGCAUUUGCCAAGGAUGUUUUCAUUAAUCAAGAACGAAAGUUAGGGGAUCGAAGACGAUCAGAUACCGUCGUAGUCUUAACCAUAAACUAUGCCGACUAGGGAUCGGAUGAUGUUAAUUUUAAUGACUCAUUCGGCGUA
Molecule: ribosomal RNA, 513 nt
Filed under: uncultured Glomus
Lineage: Eukaryota; Fungi; Glomeromycota; Glomeromycetes; Glomerales; Glomeraceae
Description: SSU rRNA
Rfam family: Eukaryotic small subunit ribosomal RNA
Source: RNAcentral